This 354-nucleotide ribosomal RNA is filed under the name uncultured soil bacterium. RNAcentral describes it as "bacterial SSU rRNA". It matches the Rfam family "Bacterial small subunit ribosomal RNA", at positions 26 to 386 of the family's 1533-position model. The record is from RNAcentral.
AGAUUGAACGCUGGCGGCAUGCCUUACACAUGCAAGUCGAACGGUAGAGUAGCAAUACUUGAGAGUGGCGAACGGGUGAGUAAUAUAUCGGAACGUGCCCAGUCGUGGGGGAUAACGUAGAGAAAUUUACGCUAAUACCGCAUACGAUCUAAGGAUGAAAGCGGGGGACUCGCAAGAGCCUCGCGCGAUUGGAGCGGCUGAUAUCAGAUUAGGUUGUUGGUGAGGUAAAAGCUCACCAAGCCGACGAUCUGUAGCUGGUUUGAGAGAACGACCAGCCACACUGGGACUGAGACACGGCCCAGACUCCUACGGGAGCAGCAGUGGGGAAUUUUGGACAAUGGGCGCAAAGCCUGA